This 452-nucleotide ribosomal RNA is filed under the name uncultured bacterium. Its description in RNAcentral is "bacterial SSU rRNA". It matches the Rfam family "Bacterial small subunit ribosomal RNA", at positions 28 to 471 of the family's 1533-position model. The record is from RNAcentral.
GAUGAACGCUAGCGGCAGGCUUAACACAUGCAAGUCGAGGGGCAGCAUAAUGGAUAGCAAUAUCUAUGGUGGCGACCGGCGCACGGGUGCGUAACGCGUAUGCAACCUACCUUUAACAGGGGGAUAACACUGAGAAAUUGGUACUAAUACCCCAUAAUAUCAUAGAAGGCAUCUUUUAUGGUUGAAAAUUCCGAUGGUUAGAGAUGGGCAUGCGUUGUAUUAGCUAGUUGGUGGGGUAACGGCUCACCAAGGCGACGAUACAUAGGGGGACUGAGAGGAAGGUCCCCCACAUUGGAACUGAGACACGGUCCAAACUCCUACGGGAGGCAGCAGUGAGGAAUAUUGGCAAUGGGCGAGAGCCUGAACCAGCCAAGUAGCGUGAAGGAUGACUGCCCUAUGGGUUGUAAACUCCUUUUACCUGGGAAUAACGGGGCGCUACGCGUAGCGCUGUG